This 623-nucleotide long non-coding RNA is filed under the name Homo sapiens (human). RNAcentral describes it as "HSALNT0361597". Lineage: Eukaryota; Metazoa; Chordata; Mammalia; Primates; Hominidae. The record is from RNAcentral.
UUUCAGGCUCAUUCUUGUCCUCUAUAUGUGUCUCCAUCUUUACCCCUUCCAGUGUCAUCCUAAUUGGGGCAAGAAAGACUUAACCUGCACUUUCCCUGUUCAUCCCCAAUCCAAAUGCCUAGCUGGUCUGGUCUAGAUUUCUCUCAUCUCCUGGGUUCAGUUCAUCAUAGGUUUGGAAGCACUUUGUGUCUUCAUAGUCCAUUAAAUGGCUUUGCCUUCUUAUUUUAAGAUCUUCUUUUUCUGCUAGGUCCUAGUUUGAGUGAGAUUCUGUUACUGCAACUAAGAGAUCCCUAUCUGAGACAUCUCAGUGACUCAAGAGGUAUUCUAAAUUCUACUUCAGUUCUAAGAGCUUAAAGUUUUGGCUUGUGUUACUUCCUUGGGGAGAUCUUGCUGGACCACAUCAGGAAUAGGAGGGGUGUGUCCCCACAGCACUGUGUACACGGAAAUGCAGAUGAUAACUCCUGCCUCCAGACCCCUCUCUGAGAUGAUUCUGAGACACAUAUAAAUGGGCUUUGCAAACUGUGGGCAGUAGAUGUGAGAACUCUUCAUCUUCCAGACAGGAUCCAAGGUCCUUUGGAAGGGACAGUGAGCGGACUGCAUCCUGCUUGCAUGAAGACCCUGAU